CUGGAGGUAUCAGAAGUGCGAAUGCUGACAUAAGUAACGAUAAAGCGGGUGAAAAGCCCGCUCGCCGGAAGACCAAGGGUUCCUGUCCAACGUUAAUCGGGGCAGGGUGAGUCGACCCCUAAGGCGAGGCCGAAAGGCGUAGUCGAUGGGAAACGGGUUAAUAUUCCCGUACUUGGUGUUACUGCGAAGGGGGGACGGAGAAGGCUAUGUUGGCCGGGCGACGGUUGUCCCGGUUUAAGCGUGUAGGUGUGUGUUCCAGGUAAAUCCGGUUCACUUUAACACUGAGGCGUGACGACGAGGCACUACGGUGCUGAAGCAACAAAUGCCCUGCUUCCAGGAAAAGCCUCUAAGCAUCAGGUAACAUCAAAUCGUACCCCAAACCGACACAGGUGGUCAGGUAGAGAAUACCAAGGCGCUUGAGAGAACUCGGGUGAAGGAACUAGGCAAAAUGGUGCCGUAACUUCGGGAGAAGGCACGCUGACAC
This 484-nucleotide ribosomal RNA is filed under the name Salmonella enterica subsp. enterica serovar Gallinarum. RNAcentral's name for it is "partial 23S ribosomal RNA". It matches the Rfam family "Bacterial large subunit ribosomal RNA", at positions 1273 to 1757 of the family's 2925-position model. RNAcentral also lists the same sequence under 29 other names. The record is from RNAcentral. Lineage: Bacteria; Pseudomonadati; Pseudomonadota; Gammaproteobacteria; Enterobacterales; Enterobacteriaceae.